Molecule: ribosomal RNA, 172 nt
Filed under: uncultured bacterium
Lineage: Bacteria
Description: partial 16S ribosomal RNA
Rfam family: Bacterial small subunit ribosomal RNA
Source: RNAcentral
CUCCUACGGGAGGCAGCAGUUAGGAAUCUUGCGCAAUGGGCGAAAGCCUGACGCAGCCAUGCCGCGUGAAUGAUGAAGGUCCUUAGGAUUGUAAAUUCUUUCAGCGGGACGAUAAUGACGGUACCCGCAGAAGAAGCUCCGGCUAACUUCGUGCCAGCCGCCGCGGUAAUAC